Molecule: ribosomal RNA, 266 nt
Filed under: uncultured bacterium
Lineage: Bacteria
Description: partial 16S ribosomal RNA
Rfam family: Bacterial small subunit ribosomal RNA
Source: RNAcentral
AUGGCGACUGGCGCACGGGUGAGUAACACGUAUCCAACCUGCCGAUGACUCGGGGAUAGCCUUUCGAAAGAAAGAUUAAUACCCGAUGGCAUAGUUCUUCCGCAUGGUAGAACUAUUAAAGAAUUUCGGUCAUCGAUGGGGAUGCGUUCCAUUAGGUUGUUGGCGGGGUAACGGCCCACCAAGCCUUCGAUGGAUAGGGGUUCUGAGAGGAAGGUCCCCCACAUUGGAACUGAGACACGGUCCAAACUCCUACGGGAGGCAGCAUG